Molecule: long non-coding RNA, 354 nt
Filed under: Citrus x clementina
Lineage: Eukaryota; Viridiplantae; Streptophyta; Magnoliopsida; Sapindales; Rutaceae
Description: Citrus clementina (C. clementina) long non-coding RNA (CCLE_LNC000748)
Source: RNAcentral
CCUUUGGCCGAGUGGUGAGAGCUGCUGCUCUCCAACUUGGAGAGCAGCAGUUCGAACCCCCACAAUGCAUGUGAGGGUGUUUCCUUCCUCAAAUAAAAUUGAGUGAAGGCAAUCUGCUACCUUGCCCCAGUGUGAGGAGUAGACAUCCCUCGAAUAUUUGAGAGGGUUAAAAUCUGGGCAGCGCUCCAUUAGCUUUGAUGUAUGUUGGUUCCAGUUAUAAUCUGAUUUGUACAUAUCAGUUAUAUUCUCAUGUAAUAUGAGUUGUAAUCGGAGCAAUAGUCUUAUGUAAUCAAAAAAAAAAAAAUUGUGAAACAAGUUUUUAAAUAGUUAUAAGGGUUAUUCCCACCCAACCCC